CAAAGCCAGUCGGGCAAUAUUCGCUUCACACUUGGGCAAUAUUGGCUUAUUAUAAAAAUAAAUGGGACAAAUUCUGUCAAUUUUGUGGGGAAUUCUGUCAAUUUUGUGGGAAAUAUGCUAUCUAUCCAAUAGGAAUUCUUCGUAAUCACUAGUCCCCCCCCCCCCCCCCGUCGACAACAAUUUUGGAAAGUUUCUCCGGAAAUUUUUUUAACAACGCGGGCACAAUCUGAAAAAGUCAGGCAAAUUUCUUUCCUCCCCCCUAAUUUUUUUCUUCCUGUAUGCCCAUGUGUAUACCACCAUAAAUCCUGGGAUGAAAUCAUGGUCACAUAUAUUACAGUAUAUAAUCUUCUGUUGACAAUAAUAUCUUUCAAAAGUGCAAUAUUUGUUGCGCAUAGACUCAGGCAAUGACUCGGGUUGUGCAGCAAAUAAAGUGUCAUGUUUGUAGACCAUUCUAUUUGACAGUUUUGCAUUUACUACAUUUGGUGGGGAUAAUUAACACCCCUGGGUUUAGUGGAAGAUGAUCAAAACAAACAUGAAUUAAAACAUGAUUUUGCUCUUAACAAC
Molecule: non-coding RNA, 564 nt
Organism: Paramuricea clavata
Lineage: Eukaryota; Metazoa; Cnidaria; Anthozoa; Malacalcyonacea; Plexauridae
Source: the annotation of a GenBank genome assembly